Long non-coding RNA from Lonchura striata (white-rumped munia), 1617 nucleotides. NCBI's taxonomy places the organism in Eukaryota, Metazoa, Chordata, Aves, Passeriformes, Estrildidae. The record is from Ensembl.
GCUCGGACCUCGGCAGCAGGGAGAAGAGAGAGAAACUGAGGCACGGUUAAAAACGGGGGGGGGCCGGAAAUGUGGGGGGCGGACCCCCCCCCCCCCCCCAAAGCUCUGCCCCCCCUCCCCCACCACGUCCCGCCCCACAAGUCGCCCCCUCCCCACCCCACGUUUCUCCCCCCCCGGCCCCACGUCCCCUCCCGUGGGGCGGCAGCGGCGCCCGCGGUGGGACCCGGCCCCACGGCUCGUGCCCCGACCCACAGAGGCCGUGGGGCAGAUGUGGGGCAGAUGUGGGGCAGGGCAGCCCCGCUGUGGGUCACGAUGUGGGGCAGCCCCACUGUGGGUCAGCCCUGCUGUGGGUCAGCAGAAGAUGAGAUGUGGGUCAGGGCUGCUGUGGGUCAGAUGUGGGUGAGAUGUGGGUCAGCCCCAGCCCCUCUGUGGGUCAGACGUGGGGCAGCCCUGCCGUGGGUCAGAUGUGGGUCAGCUGUGGGUCAGCCCCAGCCCCUCUGUGGGUCAGACGUGGGGCAGCCCUGCCAUGGGGCAGCUGUGGGUCAGCCCCGGGCUCAUUGUGGCUCAGCAGGAGAUCAGAUGUGGGGCAGCCCCACUGUGGGUCAGCCCUGCCCUGGGUCAGCCCCAGGCCCACUGUGGGUCAGCAGAAGAUCAGAUGUGGGUCAGGGCUGCUGUGGGUCAGCCCUGGGCUUGCUGUGGGUCAGAUGUGGGUCAGAUGUGGGGCAGCCCCACUGUGGCUCAGCCCUGCCCUGGGUCAGCCUGCUGUGGGUCAGAUGUGGGUCAGCUGUGGGUCAGCCCCAGCCCCUCUGUGGGUCAGAUGUGGGUCAGAUGUGGGGCAGCCCCACUGUGGCUCAGCCCUGCCCUGGGUCAGCCUGCUGUGGGUCAGAUGUGUGUCAGCCCCAGGCCCAGUGUGGGGCAGCCGUGGGGCAGCCCCUCUGUGGGGCAGCCCUGCCGUGGGUCAGAUGUGGGUCAGAUGUGGGGCAGCCCCAGCCCCUCUAUGGGUCGGCCAUGGGUCAGAUGUGGGGCAGGGUCUCUCUGGGUCAGAUGUGGGGCAGCCCCAGGCCCUCUGGAUGUGGGUCAGAUGUGGGGCAGGGUCUCUAUGGGUCAGCCCCAGCCCCUCUGUGGGUCAGAUGUGGGGCAGCCCCUCUGGAUGUGGGUCAGAUGUGGGGCAUGCCGGGCUGCUGUGGGUCAGAUGUGGGUCUCUAUGGGUCGGCCAUGAGUCAGAUGUGGGGCAGCUCCUCUGGAUGUGGGUCAGCUGUGAGUCAGAUGUGGGUCUCUAUGGGUCGGCCGUGGGUCAGAUGUGGGGCAGGGCGGGCAGGCUCUGUGGGUCCCUGUGGGUCUCUAUGGGUCGCAGUGGGUCAGAUGUGGGGCAGGGCGGGCAGGCUCUGUCAGUGGGUCUCUAUGGGUCAGAUGUGGGUCGCAGUGGGUCAGAUGUGGGGCAGGGCGGGCAGGCUCUGGAUGUGGGUCUCUGUGGGUCAGCUGUGGGUCUCAGUGGGUCCCUGUGGGUCAGAUGUGGGUCGCAGUGGGUCAGAUGUGGGGCAGGGCGGGCAGGCUCUGCCGGCAGUCGAUGGCGCCGCGGUCGGGCCCGGUGAAGGCGAGGGGCAGCCCCCCGAGGAA